This 496-nucleotide ribosomal RNA is filed under the name uncultured bacterium. RNAcentral's name for it is "partial 16S ribosomal RNA". It matches the Rfam family "Bacterial small subunit ribosomal RNA", at positions 29 to 507 of the family's 1533-position model. The record is from RNAcentral.
AUGAACGCUGGCGGCGUGCCUAAUACGUGCAAGUCGAGCGAACAGACGAGGAGCUUGCUCCUCUGACGUUAGCGGCGGACGGGUGAGUAACACGUGGAUAACCUACCUAUAAGACUGGGAUAACUUCGGGAAACCGGAGCUAAUACCGGAUAAUAUAUUGAACCGCAUGGUUCAAUAGUGAAAGACGGUUUUGCUGUCACUUAUAGAUGGAUCCGCGCCGCAUUAGCUAGUUGGUAAGGUAACGGCUUACCAAGGCAACGAUGCGUAGCCGGCCUGAGAGGGUGAUCGGCCACACUGGAACUGAGAAACGGUCCAGACUCCUACGGGAGGCAGCAGUAGGGAAUCUUCCGCAAUGGGCGAAAGCUUGACGGAGCAACGCCGCGUGAGUGAUGAAGGUCUUCGGAUCGUAAAACUCUGUUAUUAGGGAAGAACAAAUGUGUAAGUAACUAUGCACGUCUUGACGGUACCUAAUCAGAAAGCCACGGCUAACUACGUG